UUGCCCAGCAAAAAGAGUUGGCUCUGUGUGAAACAUUUAGAGGGAGUGUUAAUGCCUUUCUUGUGCAGUUCAGUGCGCUGACAGCAAUACCAACACUGUUUCCUGAGAAGAUAUGAGAAGCCAUGAAUCUUAGAGUGGAUCUCACUUUCCCUCCCUAAAAGUACUCCACUGCAGCUCCCAAGUGGAAGACGAAUGCACCCAUUAAAGACAGUUGUGCUUCGGUGAAAUUCAGUGAGCCAUUUGUGCCUUGCAAGCACACAAAAAAGAGAUACAGAGUCAAGAGAUAGCCCUUAUCCAUGAAAUAUUAUCUUAAUGGCAAGAUACAACCUGUACAGCGAUAGAAGGGAAGAAGCUUAAUCCAGCAACCAGUUCUACAAGUUUUUCAAUACUCUGCCUUUACCGCAUAUGGAUGUGUAAAUAGGAGCCAGAAAAUCAUUCGUUAGAGUGUAUUUGGAGGUAUGUUUUGCUGAGGAGUUCUUCGUGGGUUUAGCACUUCUAAGAUCUUUACUUCAUUCUUAACAUCCCUAAAAGGAAUUUCAUACUUCAAGAAAUUUUGUGGGUAAGUUUGGGAAUGCACGAAGAUGAAAAAACAUUGUAACUGAAAGCAAAUGUUUUCUUUUGCUUUCAGGAAAUAUACCUCCUUCAUUCACUCGGUAAGGCUGUUCCUAUAUUACUCUCAGAGACAUGUAUUCUGGCACAAAUAAAUGGUGGAAAUCAUUAAAACACAAUGAUGCUAGACCAAAAAUUUUCUAAUUAGAUCAAUGAAUAUGAAUAUGAUGUGAUAUGUUCCAGUCUAUAUAUAAUUUUGUAUGAUGAAUAAAGGAUGCAAACUGUACGCCUAUGCUCAUAUCCUUGUAUGACUACACAAAUGUCUGCAUGAGUUGAUGUAUUUGCAUAUAUUUAGGUAUUAUUUUUACAUUCACAAAGAAUGUACAUGUGUGAGCACUCAUCUUUCUACAUAUGGCUGAGUAAUCCUGUUUUCUUUCAUUUUUCUAAACUUUAAUUUACCUUCUGCUUCCAUCACGUUCAUUUCUUAAAGGAAAAACCUUGCCUAUUUUACGAGACCGAUAGGAUUUUUUUUUUCCAGGGUACUUCAGGAAAAAUUAACAUCCGAGUCAUUCCAUGCAGUUUAAAAACCCCAAUAUCAAAAUAAACAUGGAAGAAACUGAAUGGGGAAGGAAAACAGUACUGCAACUUUUGUUCUCUGAUCAGCAUUUUUGCUGUUCAAGACUUCCUGAGUGGUAAAAUAGCUCAGCCACCCAUGCAGUCAAGUCAGAGGGCAGAAAAUUUUAUAUUACUCAGAUUUCCUCAAGGGGUUGACCACACUAUGACCUCUUUCCAUUCUGUAAAGCUCUGUGACUCAGAAACAUUAUGAUGCUUCUAUUUUAAAUAGUUUCUCCAGGCUUUCCUUUGUGAUGCUUUUCAACUCAAGGUAGGUAAAAGCAACUUGCCAUAUUCAGUAACCCAAGGUCAUCCUUAGACUUCAAGUAUUAACAUUUGAUUAGCUGUAAUAGUUCAUUUUGCUGUCCAAGUUGUGCUAUACUUAUGUAACUUGACUCACUUGAGUAGCCCCACUCAUUUCAAGCUCUGAUGUAAAUGAAUGAUUCUACUUAGAGUCAUCCCAUCUGUUUUUUUGUAGUACAAGCCUGAUAAGCCUUUUUUAAUUAAUCUGGGAAAAAAAUCCUUUAUGGCUUGUAAAAUGGCAACAUG
Lagopus muta (rock ptarmigan) is the source of this 1710-nucleotide long non-coding RNA. RefSeq lists it as uncharacterized. NCBI's taxonomy places the organism in Eukaryota, Metazoa, Chordata, Aves, Galliformes, Phasianidae. The record is from RefSeq and is a predicted model, not a curated record. The transcript has 3 exons.